Molecule: transfer RNA, 68 nt
Filed under: Trigonopterus sp. 3 AH-2016
Lineage: Eukaryota; Metazoa; Arthropoda; Insecta; Coleoptera; Curculionidae
Description: tRNA-Ser
Source: RNAcentral
GAAUCAAGUCAACCCAUAAUAAAGCUUCUAACUUUACUUUAAAGCAGUGAAAUUCUGUUUUUGAUUCU